RNAcentral lists this ribosomal RNA (490 nucleotides) under uncultured bacterium. Its description in RNAcentral is "bacterial SSU rRNA". It matches the Rfam family "Bacterial small subunit ribosomal RNA", at positions 58 to 507 of the family's 1533-position model. The record is from RNAcentral.
CAAGUCGAACGGGUGAGAGGAGCUUGCUCCUCGAUCUAGUGGCGAACGGGUGAGUAACGCGUGAGAAACCUGCCUUUCAGUGGGGGACAACAGUUGGAAACGACUGCUAAUACCGCAUAAUGUGCCGGGAGGGCAUCCUCCUGGUACCAAAGCUUUAUGUGCUGAAAGAUGGCCUCUACAUGUAAGCUAUCGCCAAAGGAUGGGCCUGCGUCUGAUUAGCUAGUUGGUGGGGUAACGGCUCACCAAGGCGACGAUCAGUAGCCGGUCUGAGAGGAUGAACGGCCACAUUGGGACUGAGACACGGCCCAGACUCCUACGGGAGGCAGCAGUGGGGAAUCUUCCGCAAUGGACGAAAGUCUGACGGAGCAAUGCCGCGUGAGUGAUGAAGGUUUUCGGACCGUAAAGCUCUUUUGUUUAUGACGAAUGUGCAUGAUGUGAAUAAUGUUGUGUAAUGACGGUAGUAAACGAGUAAGCCACGGCUAACUACGUG